UGCCAGGCUUCAACACAGAAAUCUAGUCCGGCUUCUUGGCUGUUGUGUUGAUAUGGAAGAGAAGAUGCUGAUCUAUGAAUACCUGGAGAAUAAAAGUUUAGAUUCAAUUUUGUUCAAUAAACAGAAAAGCUCGCUGCUCGACUGGCAAAAGCGGUUCAAUAUUAUUUGUGGGAUUGCUCGGGGGCUUCUAUACCUUCAUCAAGAUUCAAGAUUUAGGAUUAUCCAUAGAGACCUUAAAGCAAGCAAUAUUCUGCUUGAUAAGGAUUUGACCCCCAAAAUAUCAGAUUUUG
Molecule: unclassified non-coding RNA, 290 nt
Filed under: Hevea brasiliensis (rubber tree)
Lineage: Eukaryota; Viridiplantae; Streptophyta; Magnoliopsida; Malpighiales; Euphorbiaceae
Source: RNAcentral